UGUCGGGCUCCGGUUAACGGACUAAUACCCAACCCCGUCAGGUCCGGAAGGAAGCAGCGGUCAGUAUUUAAUUCGUGUAAUCGGUCAGCCCGGCAUCU
Molecule: signal recognition particle RNA, 98 nt
Filed under: Ignavibacteria bacterium
Lineage: Bacteria; Pseudomonadati; Ignavibacteriota; Ignavibacteria
Description: signal recognition particle sRNA small type
Rfam family: Bacterial small signal recognition particle RNA
About the family: The signal recognition particle (SRP) is a universally conserved ribonucleoprotein involved in the co-translational targeting of proteins to membranes. Archaeal SRP consists of a 7S RNA and homologues of the eukaryotic SRP19 and SRP54 proteins.
Source: RNAcentral